Molecule: long non-coding RNA, 1382 nt
Filed under: Homo sapiens (human)
Lineage: Eukaryota; Metazoa; Chordata; Mammalia; Primates; Hominidae
Description: non-protein coding lnc-MPLKIP-5:7
Source: RNAcentral
GCUGAAGAAGAUGAGGCUGGAGAAGAAAACAGGAGCCAAAUCACGAAUCGUCUAUGCCUUGGAAUUGCUCCAUUCCAAUAAAAAUAUUUUAAAUUUAAUCAUUGACAACAGUUAAGCUGGCCAUAGGCUGAGGAUUGAGGAUGGUGGGUUGCACAAAUAUCUGCUGAAUGGAGAGCUAGAAGGAGGAUGACUUCAAGAAGAGUCAGCAAUAGGAACGCAAUGAAAGACAACCUCAAAUUCAUUAGUCAGCCUGUCUCAGCUGCUUUUUGGUGGCUCACAGCUAUGCUAACCUAGCAUAAAGCAGUGAGAAAUAGAAUACUUCAUUUUGAGCAGAGCUUCAGAAAACCACAAAUAGUAAAAGCCCUAUAAAUAAUAGCUACAGCUGCAAACCAAAGACUAAUUAUUAGUUUUUAACUCUAUAUCCCUGUAGAGCAGCAUUUUUGAACACACAAAAAAAGAGAAACGCGUUCACUUACGUCUUAGAUUAUUUAAAUACAGUAUUCUCAAUUUGUCUAGGAUAAAAAAGCAUUUAGGUGUAUUGAACAACCAUAUAAUGGAUAAUAUACUGAACAGGAAAUGAGAAUAAUUAGCUUGAGUCCCUUUUUUGUCAGUUGUUCACCGUAUGACCCUAGCAAUGUUACUUAACCUCUCUAUGCCCUAGUUUCUCUGACUGUAAAAUAGAGAUAAUAAUAACUUUCUAUCAGCCGCCUCUCAAAGAUAUUAUAGGAAAUAACAAAUUAAUGCUAUGAAAGCUCUUUGAGGUACUUGGAUGAAAGGGCAUAAUUGUAAGUACAUAUUAUUAGUAAUUAGCACUAAUAUCCAGUAGCACCCAUGAGCAUUCCUGACUUUGCUGCCUGGAUUACUCAAAGAACAUGAAGGAUCCUGUUUUGAAAUACACUUAGAUCUUUUUUCUUAACUUGUGAAUUGACUUUACUAUUUAUGAUCAAACCUUGUGUAUUAACAAAUAUAGUUAAUGAAAGAGGGAAGUAAAAAGAAGUUUUGGUAACCACAACUUUUAUAUUCAUGCUACUCAUAGCUAAUAUAUGCUUUGGGGGAAAAUACAGGGUAGAUAGGGAUUUGCCAGAAGCAUGUUUUAGAAUUAAUGAUUAGUCUACUCCAGUCAGUUAACUGGAAUUUUGUAUUAAAAACAUUAUUCAUGUCCCCAUAGAAUAAUGCAGUCCCUAUAGAAUUUAUAGACAGUUACAUGUUUGACACAAUUAAGUUGAACAUUCCUGUGAAACUCUGUCAUUCUCAUCACUGUUUAAUCACAAACAUGUAAUGAAAUAUAUAGACUUGUGAAGUUUUGUCCAAUGUCUAUCCCUAAAGUAGAUGAGAAUUUUUUCCAUUAAAUUGGUGACUUCAGUAUUUCCUUUAGAGAGGUG